Non-coding RNA from Odocoileus virginianus texanus, 73 nucleotides. NCBI's taxonomy places the organism in Eukaryota, Metazoa, Chordata, Mammalia, Artiodactyla, Cervidae. The record is from the annotation of a RefSeq genome assembly.
UCCCUGGUGGUCCAGUGGUUAAGACUCUGAGCUCCGAAUGCAGGGGGCCCAGGUUCAAUUCUUGGUCAGGGAA